RNAcentral lists this ribosomal RNA (580 nucleotides) under uncultured bacterium. Its description in RNAcentral is "partial 16S ribosomal RNA". It matches the Rfam family "Bacterial small subunit ribosomal RNA", at positions 355 to 932 of the family's 1533-position model. The record is from RNAcentral.
UGGGGAAUUUUGGACAAUGGGCGAAAGCCUGAUCCAGCAAUGCCGCGUGUGUGAAGAAGGCCUUCGGGUUGUAAAGCACUUUUGUCCGGAAAGAAAUCCUUGGCUCUAAUACAGUCGGGGGAUGACGGUACCGGAAGAAUAAGCACCGGCUAACUACGUGCCAGCAGCCGCGGUAAUACGUAGGGUGCAAGCGUUAAUCGGAAUUACUGGGCGUAAAGCGUGCGCAGGCGGUUUGCUAAGACCGAUGUGAAAUCCCCGGGCUCAACCUGGGAACUGCAUUGGUGACUGGCAGGCUAGAGUAUGGCAGAGGGGGGUAGAAUUCCACGUGUAGCAGUGAAAUGCGUAGAGAUGUGGAGGAAUACCGAUGGCGAAGGCAGCCCCCUGGGCCAAUACUGACGCUCAUGCACGAAAGCGUGGGGAGCAAACAGGAUUAGAUACCCUGGUAGUCCACGCCCUAAAACGAUGUCAACUAGUUGUUGGGGAUUCAUUUCCUUAGUAACGUAGCUAACGCGUGAAGUUGACCGCCUGGAGAGUACGGUCGCAAGAUUAAAACUUAAAUGAAUUGACGGGGUCAUAGCUG